CCUACGGGAGGCAGCAGUGAGGAAUAUUGGUCAAUGGACGCAAGUCUGAACCAGCCAUGCCGCGUGCAGGAAGACGGUCCUAUGGAUUGUAAACUGCUUUUAUACAGGAAGAAACAACUCUACGUGUAGAGUCUUGACGGUACUGUAGGAAUAAGGAUCGGCUAACUCCGUGCCAGCAGCCGCGGUAAU
Molecule: ribosomal RNA, 189 nt
Filed under: uncultured bacterium
Lineage: Bacteria
Description: partial 16S ribosomal RNA
Rfam family: Bacterial small subunit ribosomal RNA
Source: RNAcentral